Molecule: transfer RNA, 74 nt
Filed under: Perca fluviatilis (European perch)
Lineage: Eukaryota; Metazoa; Chordata; Actinopteri; Perciformes; Percidae
Rfam family: tRNA
About the family: Transfer RNA (tRNA) molecules are approximately 80 nucleotides in length. Their secondary structure includes four short double-helical elements and three loops (D, anti-codon, and T loops).
Source: Rfam by way of RNAcentral
GGCUCCAUAGCUCGAGGGGUUAGAGCACUGGUCUUAUAAAUCAGGGAUUGUGAGUUUCAUUCUCACUGGGGCCU